This 126-nucleotide non-coding RNA is filed under the name Schmidingerella taraikaensis. The record is from RNAcentral. Lineage: Eukaryota; Ciliophora; Spirotrichea; Tintinnida; Rhabdonellidae.
AGUGAGUGCAUGCAGCUCCGCAAACUCUACCUGGAGCACAACCGAAUCGCGCGGCUGGAGGGCCUGCAGAACUGCCAGCGACUCGAGGAGCUGUACCUGGGGGACUAGAAAAUUGGCCGCGCUCAC